RNAcentral lists this non-coding RNA (44 nucleotides) under Trichobilharzia regenti. The record is from RNAcentral. Lineage: Eukaryota; Metazoa; Platyhelminthes; Trematoda; Strigeidida; Schistosomatidae.
AUCCAGCUGACGAGUCUAAAUAGGACGAAAUGCGCAUCUUGGAU